GCCUGGAAGCCGUAGCAACAGUACAGGAAGUCCCGGCGGUUUUAAGUUGCGGUUCCGGUGUUCAGAACGCCAAGGACGAUGGGAAGCUUGAAUUUGUUUAUCUGGCUUUAGGCAAUUCAAUUCACCCUUUCGUGCUGCCGAGAACCCCUCUGACGCCGCCACCCCACCGGAAUGGACCGAGGCGGCUUCCUUUGCUGGAAACAUCUGACUCCAUAAUGUGCCAGACCCUGGAGACCUGAGACACAUCGACUCGCUUCUCAGGUUUUGAGAUGCACAAUGAUGAGAAAUAAAAAUGAAAAGAUUUCCAGAAAGAAGCCAUAAGAUUCAAGGUUUCACAGUCUAAGCUAAUGUCCACGGAUAUUUGACGAAAUGAUCUGAGAAAAUUGCAGUCCUGGCAAAAGAAGUGUAACUAGACUAAGGCAAGGUAAAUGGCUAAGUAGGCAGGGAGACAUGAGCUGGCGGUUGCAGGGAGGGUUGAGAAUGGCAAGUGGGUUGGCACAUUGCUGUAGUGUAAGCUACAGCCUGGCAGGAUUUCUGUAUUUCCUGCUUAAAGACGCCUCACUACUUGACUUUAGCUGGAAUAGUAAGGACAUCCAGCUGUUUUAGUUCAAGACAAUGCCAGAUUCUUGUCCCAUUCUGGCGGAUGGCGGCUUGUUGUCUAGUAUUUCUUCAGUCAGCACCCACCUCUUUUUCCAGAUACAGCCUAUAGGGUGAUUUGUCCUCUUUGUUCUAAGUACUAUGGUUUAAGAUUGUCUGUAGAUUGUGCAUAAUUUAGGUACAUUGUUUGGAGCACAGAAAUUCCUUUAUAGUUGCGAAAGGGAGGUUAGAGGAAGAUAAAAUGUCAUGCUGUAGUAUGUUUUGAGCCAUAGUCAUUACUGACU
Molecule: long non-coding RNA, 881 nt
Organism: Peromyscus eremicus (cactus mouse)
Lineage: Eukaryota; Metazoa; Chordata; Mammalia; Rodentia; Cricetidae
Exons: 3
Source: RefSeq, a predicted model, not a curated record